This 415-nucleotide ribosomal RNA is filed under the name uncultured bacterium. RNAcentral's name for it is "bacterial SSU rRNA". It matches the Rfam family "Bacterial small subunit ribosomal RNA", at positions 355 to 787 of the family's 1533-position model. The record is from RNAcentral.
UGGGGGAUAUUGCACAAUGGGGGGAACCCUGAUGCAGCGACGCCGCGUGGGUGAAGGAGUGCUUCGGCAUGUAAAGCCCUAUCGGCAGGGAAGAAUAUGACGGUACCUGACUAAGAAGCCCCGGCUAACUACGUGCCAGCAGCCGCGGUAAUACGUAGGGGGCAAGCGUUAUCCGGAUUCACUGGGUGUAAAGGGAGCGUAGACGGCCAUGCAAGCCUGGAGUGAAAGCCCGGGGCCCAACCCCGGGACUGCUCUGGGAACUGCAUGGCUGGAGUGCGGGAGGGGCAGGCGGAAUUCCUGGUGUAGCGGUGAAAUGCGUAGAUAUCAGGAGGAACACCGGCGGCGAAGGCGGCCUGCUGGACCGCGACUGACGUUGAGGCUCGAAAGCGUGGGGAGCGAACAGGAUUAGAUACCC